GUCGGCAAUGAAAUCGAAAAGAAGGAAAGAAAAGGGAAAAAGAAGCAAUAAAAAAGAGGAAAGAAACGAUAAAAGGAAGGGCGAAGCAGAAAAUGCAUAUAACUGCAGAAUCGUGUUGAACGCAGCGGAAUAACGCGGUUUCCAACUUGGACGUUUGAACGUUUCCUAAUCCGAUUAGCGCAAAAACUGCAUCCCAUUGCAAUGGAGCAUUGGCGUUACGAACCGCGUGGCGUCUCUCUGCGCGAAAUCGUGUACCACGCAGCCUGCACCGCCUGAAACUCGGCUGUACGCAGACUGCACGCAGACUGCACGCAGACUGCACGCAAGCAAGCCGCGCGGUUCAUUUCUCAAGCUAAACGCAUUUAUCGGUGAUGCACCGAGGGAGAAAAUCAGAGCCCUCCGCCUCUCGCCGCCGACGUCGUACAGCCAUUGUCCUCGCGUACGCGUCGCCGUUGUGUUAGAGAAUGCCGUGGCGAGGUGCCGAGCAAGGGGCUGCGUCGGAGGGUUCGGAGUGGAAGGACAGGGAAUAGAGGGUUGCACGCCAUUCCUUCGACAUUACGUCAUACGUCGAUUCUCUGGGGAUUCCCACGGCGUCAACCCACGCCGAGAAACUUCGUCGACCGCAUUCAGCAGGAUACCGAGUUUUCUAUUUGCUUUCAUCUGGCAAGAGUUCUCUAUUGGUUACCUAUUAGAAGAUGGAAGAGCUCGCGGUGUUUGUGUACGCGAAGAAAGUAGGUUUGUCGGUAGCGUGUAAUAUGUACGAAGAAAAUGAAAGUUACGAGAUCGAUUCGCGUUGAACGGAAAAAGGGAAUCGAAAAAAGGGAAACGAAUUCCACGCGUUCGACGCUGGCAAUCGUCCGAUAAGAGCCAUCCUCCUGUAAUCGUUUUUCCACGUUCCAACCGAAUCGUCGCUGGGUGAAGAAGUUUAAACAAAAAACAAAGGAGAGCGGGAGGAGAAAGGGAAACUGUGAAAAAGGGAACAAAUAAUGGAAAUGGUGUCUCGCUUAGGGGUAAUCGUCGUCGCGUGCUCGCAGAGUAAAAAUGGGGCUGCCGCGGCUGAUUAAUCAUCGGCAAUCUCGCGAGAGCGCGUCGAAAGGACGCGGCCAUUAAAGGCAAACGACGAGAACUUCGUCACCGGUCGGCGUUCGACGAUCGUGUUCCGGGGUUGAACGAGUUAUUUUUUUUUUUUCUCUCCCUUCGCGCGACGAUACGUGGCAGAAGGAGAAACAGAGACGAACGAGUAAUUUAAUUGAAAUUCCCCAACCGUGCCCUCACCAGCGGUGGCGCAGAAAUUGUGGAAAAAUCGAGUCAUACGAUCGCCGGGGCUGCGUGAAAAUGGAAUUACGGCGGAGAAACGAGGUUUGUCCGAUGAUGCAGGUGAACGCCGGUUUCACGAGGGAUCGAGCAACCGAACGUACAAAGGGAUGAAAAAACAUAGACUCGUCAGUCCGCGGAAAGAUCGAGGGUUUAUAGGGACAAAAUUUUUUUACCUUUAAAUUUCCACGUAAAUUAGCCUUGCAAAAUUACUCUCAAUUACUCUACGCGAUGCUCGCGAGUGCGAGAACUCGUUCGAUACCAACCAUCGUGCGUAUGCAGAGCGUUCUGGCUGCCUGGCCUCGAGCAGCAAGCGCAACUCGACUGAAAGAUAUCCUAUCUACAGCGUACGUACGAGUUUGCCAUACGUGUGU
This 1688-nucleotide unclassified non-coding RNA is filed under the name Bombus terrestris (buff-tailed bumblebee). RNAcentral describes it as "misc RNA ENSBTSG00005038146.1". Lineage: Eukaryota; Metazoa; Arthropoda; Insecta; Hymenoptera; Apidae. The record is from RNAcentral.